UCAAAGAAAGAAACAGGUACAGAAGGACCUUGUUUGUCAGGAGGCUAUAUGGUAUUCUCUUUUUUUUUUUUUUUUGGUAUUCUUGUAUAGGUGGGUGGGGCAGAUCUUGGGCUUAGAUGUUGACUAACAAAAGGCCCAAGAGUCUGAAAGGGAGGGAAGGGGGUAGCAGGUAAAUUCUGAGAGCUGAGAGAUUUAGCAGCUUGGUGCAGUUCCCCCAUCAAGAUGAUCCCACAGUCUCCUGUGGGGGGUCCUGCUGAGCUUGGCUUGUACAAAAGCAAGCAGUAGUUUAUUUUUGUACCUGAGUCACAUCACGUUCUCCUGUGGGCCAGUAUUGUGGAGCGAGUCUGAGUUGUUUACACUGAUGCCUUCCUUCCCUGCCCACCACAAAUUGUGUACAUAGUCAACAGAUGAAACCCCUCCUCUUCUCCAGCUCCUACCCAAGAGCUGGCUCUAGGCCUGUGUUAUAUGUUAUAUUUAGCCUUUUUAUAUAUGACCCUUGAUCUGUUUGUAUUUGAACACUGUGUGUGUCCACUUUAAUACAUUUGUGCAGACAUGCACAUUACAUACGUGUAUAUGCCUGUCUCUCAUCUAGAUUAUCAAGGGAGAGGGAACCUUGCAGCCAAGAAUGACUCUGUGGAUAGUGUGUGCCACAAGUGUUAUUCUUCUCUGUUAACCUUAGGGAUACAACGGGAAGCAGAGCUUCUAGUGUUUGCUGUUUCAUGGCAGCUAAGUGGGGGCCUUGGGUGACUCCCUUGUGCUCUUUAAGCCACACUUCGGGGCCCUCUCUACAGUAUUAGAUUCUUUUUUGCCUGAUUAUGCUCUGUCUGCACCUGUGUAUGUGUGACAGUCACUUUUGCAUGGCUUCUGUGCCUGGCUUGUGGCAUUUAGGGACAGGGUGCUGGAACCACAGUGUUUAGUUUGUCAGAACUUGUUGGCCAACCAUAAGUCACUGUCACCUGCUGUGUCUACACUGUUGCCCCUUUUCUUGCUUUUUUCCUGAGAGACUUUAGCUAGGCCCAGACUAGAUGAGUUGCAGGUGACCUUCUCUUCCCAGCUCGGCAGCUUUAGAGUAGAACAAACGGCCAUCAAACAUUGAUGCAAGCACUAUCCCUGCAGAUCCAGAAAUCAAGACUCAACAGGUUGUGAUUUGCCCAAGAGUACCCAGCUGCUAGCGUGCUCAGACCAUCACUGCUUCUGUUCAGUCGCAGAUAGCCGUCCAGUCACCAAUGCUUUUGACUUGUUCCAACUGAAAAGUUGGACUGUCACUGAAGUCUGUUAAGUAUUGCUGAACAAUCCUGCUAUAAAAUUCUGCCUUCCCAGAAUGGACCGACAGAAGGAGCCAGGCAAUCAGCUCCAUGUUUGAAAGAACUGUUGAAGGCAAAUGUCUGUAAUCGUAGAUUAAUAUGGCAGCUUGCCUGAACUGAACGCAGGAAAACUGUCUUGAGUGUCCAGGGGUUGAAGCAUCACACUCUUAGAAGACAUACCGCCUCACGGUCUCUGCUGGGCCCUGAGGCCACAGACCUGAGUUAUGUUCCGAAUUGGUAGGAAAAGGUGCAGCUGGAGUUUAUAUGGUCACAGGGUAAUAAGAAAGAGGGAGAAAGCAGAGAUGGCAGUUUGGGGAUGUGUCCCUGGGAUGUAUUCACUGCCCUCUGAUAUGACAGCUGGCACUGCACUGUUCAACCACCAGCCACUGGGGUAUUUUUUAAUAAAUUAUUCCCUGUUGUAACUGACAAUUAGUGCUUAUGAAGGAAAAUUGGAAGAUCUUUAAGAACCAGUUUGCCACCCAAGUGGUACCACUGUUUAAAUCUUGAUGUUAAAUGUUCCUUUAGAUAUCUCUGUGCAUAAACUUUGGUGUUUACAUAGUUGUUAUUCUACUGUACAUACAAUUUUGUCCUUUUUGUACUUAACAUAUAAACUUUUUUUGCCAUGUUAUCAGUCGUAAACAGGAUUUUAUGGUUUACAGUCUCUUCCAUUGAGUUUCUGUAACAUUCCCUGGCUCACUUCUGACAGAAUGGGUUGUUCCCAUGUCCUGGUUCCGGUGGAAAUGCUUGGCCUCUGGGCAACAGAAACACACACCCCUCCCAGGCACAGUCCCUUAACUCCAAAUGCCAAUUAAAUUACCACAGGAGCAGUAAUGAGUGACUAGAAAAGGUAAGCUUGACUCAACCCCAUUCUUCAGAGACCACCUCACUGCCUGCCUUGUGUCCCACACAGUUUACCUCAAACUUGGAUCAGAUUGGCAAGCUCUUGUUAGAAUAAAUUGCAUUCUCCC
This 2272-nucleotide long non-coding RNA is filed under the name Mus musculus (house mouse). RNAcentral describes it as "long non-coding RNA chr9:106189174-106191446". Lineage: Eukaryota; Metazoa; Chordata; Mammalia; Rodentia; Muridae. The record is from RNAcentral.